Molecule: long non-coding RNA, 870 nt
Filed under: Rattus norvegicus (Norway rat)
Lineage: Eukaryota; Metazoa; Chordata; Mammalia; Rodentia; Muridae
Description: long non-coding RNA NONRATT029399
Source: RNAcentral
UUUUUUUUUUUUAUUUUUAUGUCGCCCAUACGCCCAAUAAAAGCAAAGGGAGUGUCAUUCUUGGUAAUUCCCAUUUACUGAAUGCUCACUGUGUACCAGGCACUGUGAAGGAACACUAGACAGACAUUACCUCAUUCACAGAAAAACUUUUAUCACAAGAAUUACUGUCCCUAGUGACACAGAACACUGGGGCAUAAAAAAUUCAUUGAUGUGUUCGGUGUCCAUACAGACUUGCCUGUUAAUAAGCAGUGGGGCCAGUCACAACCCAGGGCAACCAGGUGAACCUGAGGGGCCAGCUUCAGGCUCUCACAGAUGCUCCCACAGACUAUCCCUUUAACACAAGUUCCACCUCUAGGGCUCCUCAUUUAGGCCCUUCACUAUCAGCUGCCAUCUGGGGACCGCAGCCCAAGGCCAGGCCCUGUGAUGGCACUCCUCGGAAGCACCCACUGAGGCCUCUGAUGCGUGAAGGCUGGGUUCACGCACGACCAUCUGCACCAAACCGUCGAGGAUGUCUGCUCAAAAGGCAGACUCCCAGCCACAGCAGAGUCUGAUUCACAAAGUCUGAGAGGUGGGGAUGGGCGCCGACUCCACUUUGAGAAGCACAGCUCAUGGGGCUCACGCCCCUUCGCCACGGUCGGACAAAACCCGGAAGGCUGGGGAUCACCAGGCCCCGCCGUGGUCUUCCUGGGCCAGCGGUCCCCAAUUCGGUGCCCACUGAAGCCUGGUGCCCAAGGCGCCCGUGUCAUCGGAGAGGCCGGCCGGGGCCUCCCUCAGGAUGCCUCCCAAGGCUUCGGGGCCUGCCACCCACCCAGAGCCCGGCUCCUCUACACCGGCGGGCGGAGUGGCGACCGCCUACUGACCUGCGGCCGC